This is a long non-coding RNA of Mirounga angustirostris (Northern elephant seal), 3782 nucleotides long. RefSeq lists it as uncharacterized. The record is from RefSeq and is a predicted model, not a curated record. The transcript is spliced from 3 exons. NCBI's taxonomy places the organism in Eukaryota, Metazoa, Chordata, Mammalia, Carnivora, Phocidae.
UCUAAGUUCCUCAGGCAAGUAAGUACAUAGGAGAUACACAGGUAAAUAUAAAAUACUCCAUGUAGUAAUAUAAGAACUAUACUCAGGCAGGAGGAUGAAGAAGGAGCAUAUGCAUGAAUCAUUUCUUUAUGUAUAUAUUUUUCCUUUCAAAGCAUGGGUAGGAUCAUGUCAUGUCCCUUCUCAGCGAAGUUCAGCGGCAUCUUACUGUACCCAGAAUAGCCUGUGGAAGCCUCUCAGAGCUGCCUUUCAUCUCAUUUUUCAUCCCAAGUAUUUUCACAUCCUUUAGGUACCCUUUGCUCCAGCUUACUGGGUCUAUUAUCUGUUCCCCCAAAGACCGUGCUUUACAUGUCCAGGCCUUUGCUCAUUCUGUUUGGUCAGCAAGGGAUAAAUUUUACUCCUUAUUUCAUUGGUAAGAUCUUACUGAUCCCACAAGACUGAGUUCAGAUGCCUUCUCUUUCAUGAAAACUUCCAUAGUCCUACUAAUCAGAAUCAAUGAUUUCUUCCUCAUUGUUGGUCUGUUAUAUGUAUCACCGUUACCCGUUGUAGGCUUCUCUCAUUCCGGCUUGUAUCUAGUUAAUGCAUUCAUCUAUCUAUACAUUUAUUCAAGUAUUUCUUGAAAGCCUGCUCUGUUCCUGGCACUAUGCAAGGAUACGGGAAUGUAGUGGGAAGCAGAAAACAGACAUGGUGCCUGUGCUUUGGGAGCUUAGUCUUCAGGUGGAGACAGGCAAUAAGGACACAGCAAAAUCCACAAAGCCAAAACUGCAGCUGUGAUAAGCGCAAGGAAGAUAGAGAGAUCUGUGUAUCUCUCUUUCUAGACUCUAAUCUCCUUAAUGUCAGUGACAGCCUCUUGCUUGGUAGAAAAGGCAAUAGAAUAAGUCAGCUACGACCAUAUAGUGGGGUUCGUGCUCUGAAGUCCCAGUGCAUGUGAUUAUGAUUUCAUUUAGAAUAGAGUCUUUGCAGAUGUAAUCAAGUUAAGAUGAGGUCAUACUCAAUUAGGGUGGGCCCUAAUCCAAUAUGACUGGUGUCCAAUAAGAAUAGGAGAAAAGACACAGACACAAGGGAGAAGGUCAUGUGAAGACAGACGCAGGGAUUGGAGUGAUGAGUUUAUAAGCCAAGGAACACCAAGGAAUGACAGCAAUCGCCAAUAGCUGGAGGGGAGGCAUGCAACAGAUUCUCCCUCAGAACCUCUAGAGGAAACCAACUGUGAUGGCACUUGGAUUUCAGACUUGUGGCUUCCAGAACUGUGAGAGAAUCAAUUUCUUUUUUUUUUUUCUUUCUUUUUUUUCUUUUCUCAGCCACCCAGUCUGUGGUAAUUUGCUCUGGCAGUCCUUGGAAACAAGUAUACUCUCUCAGAGGGAAGUUCUUACGAGCUAGAACACAGCACCACAAUGCACUAAUGUUUGGACCCUUACCUUUCCCCUGCCUCCUGAGUCCUCCUCAUGCUUGGCCCAUCACAACACCACCUCUGUAAAGUCUGCACGAUCUACUCCAGUCUCACAAACCUCCGUUGCACUUCAAUAGGUGAAGUUUUGUUUAUGUGGGUGUUCCCACAUAGAUGAUGAGUCCCUGGAGGGCAGGUGACCUCUGACUGUGGCCAUGAAUCCCAUUGUCAGUCUUUGUUCUGACGAUGCACCGAGGACCCUCCCUAAAACACGAAGCAUGCUGUUGACUUUGUUCCCAGGCCUGGUGUCUGCCAGAUCUGCCCAGUUCAGUUCCCAUUGCUGCCAGCCGAGAUUUUUCCCAUCGCCACGACAGCAGAACAUACUCGCCUUCUCUUCGCUCUUUAGAGACUUGGUUAUUUCAAGAAAAGCUGAGGACGGACUUGCUGGGAAUGACUGCUGCUGUGUCUGACCACCGAGAGCACAUUUUCCCUACUGGUUGUUUUCCUUUUCGACCUCCUGGGGCUUUGGUUGUGUUUACAUUUGGGCCCUGUCAUUUCAUUGUUUCAUGAAUGUCUAUUUGAGUAAGACACUUGGCAUCCAAAUAUCUUUCCUUUUUUGGUUCAAAUUGAGUCCAAAUGUCUAACAGUCUCGCCAUUGAUCAUUGAAAUGGAAAGAUUAAAAAAUUUCACUUGCUUAUUUUUUUCUGCCUUAAAUCCGGUAAUGAGUCAUUUUUGCAGGCCCUAAGGACCAUAGCUGUCAUCUAUGACCUGCCUUCUUAUUUUAUAUAAUGGUGCGCUCUACUCCACACUACCACAUCUGGGAUGCAAAGCUAUUAAACGGUGCCAAAGGAAUUUCCAAAUGAACUAUUUUCUUUAACGGGUAAAGAAUGCUUCGGAUCUUCAGUUGCCCCUGACCUCAGUGUGGCCUUUUUCUUAGUGGUUUGGUUGAAGGGAAAGAAGGAAAAACAACAAAAAAUCGUAUAUGCUGUGUAAUGGCCACAUUGCGGCAGGGUCAUAUUUAGCUCGCUAAGUUACUACCAUUGUGAAUCCAGGGUUUUGUCUGAACGUUGUUCUCAAGCCCUUUCCUUACAGAAAGCUUGCUGCCCGUGGUCCCUUCUUUCUUAGCCAAUGGACCAGGCUCCUCUCCUGUUUUCCUCGUAGGGCUUUCGUGUUUUGGGUGCCUGCCAACCUAGCAGGAGGUAUUUUUCUACCACUACUUAAUCCUCAUCAAACUGGGAUAGCCUCACUUCCCUGCACACAUCCCAUGCUGUUCUUUCUGUCUCUCCUUUUACAUAAUUCCUCUCAAGUAGAUCCCCCUCUGGAUUCCCCUCCCUCAAGGCCCAGCUCAGGUCAUGCUUCCUCCCUGGGCCUUCCCCCAUCCCCCCCCCCUUUUUUUUUUUGAGAGAGAGAGAGGUGGGCCAGGGGGCCAGCAGAGGGAGACAGGGGAGAGAGAGAGAGAAAAUCUUAAGCAGGCUCCAGGUCUGACUCGGGACUCAAUCUCACCACUCUGAGAUCAUGACCUGAGCCAAAACCAAGAGUCAGACGCUUAACCCCCAAGUCCUCUGUUCCUGGGCCUUCCCAAACUAAGCUGUGCAUCUGCGUUGCUGGGCCCCUCCCAGUCCUCUGCACAAAUCAAGUGUAUACUCUGCAUUAUCAUGCAAGUCCUGGUGUUGCCUCCCCACUGGGGACAGCUCCACAGGCUAGCAAUGACAUUCUCCUUACAGCACCAGAAGACUCAGGUGGAAGGGGACCAUGCAUAGAGUGUUUACUCACACCUGCCAGCUUUUAAAGAGUUGGUCUUGGAAGAAUGAUUGAAAACAUACGUUUGAGUCAGCACAGGAAAAAUGCGUUGAACCACGGGGUGCCUAGUUCUAAGCUUUGUGUGUGAAGGCUAUGCCAUUUAAUGCCUCAAAUUCUUGAUGGAAAGGCAAGCAUUUAGUCAUAUAAUCUGAAUGUUGUGAAAUGUUAUAUAUUCUCUAUGUAUGUAUUUAGAAAAAUAAGGACAUGUGGUAGACUGUAAAAAAUAUGUUUAAGUUGAAUAAAAGACUGUUUCAGCUCUACACUAAUGUCAUAUACUUUGAUACUUGAAUUUUGUGUUUCACAAUGUUAAAUGAAAGUUAUAAUAUGCAAAUACCAUAGAUAAUUUAAAUAAUGCUAAAACCAUACAUUAGGCCCUACCUAUACAGUCUAGAAUUUGGACCUGGAGGAAUGGACGUGGAUGCUCAGAUUCUUUGGUGUGUGGAGGAGGGACGGCUAACUGUUUCAACUUCAGAACUUUUCUGAGUAGUAAUUGCCUAUUUACUUUGCACUGCUACUGAACAAUAAAAUAUGAGGGAAGAGUUAUUUUGGCUCUUCUCAAUUUUUGUAGGAAUAUUACUUUUGAGCUCUGCUCUACUUUUAC